This 286-nucleotide long non-coding RNA is filed under the name Amborella trichopoda. RNAcentral describes it as "long non-coding RNA (ATRI_LNC000208)". The record is from RNAcentral. Lineage: Eukaryota; Viridiplantae; Streptophyta; Magnoliopsida; Amborellales; Amborellaceae.
GAGAGAGGAAGAGGAAGAGAAAGAGAGAGAAAUGGGUUUUGUGUAGAAGGGGAUGGAAAAUGAAACUAAAUAAUGGGUAUUUUUCAAGGCCAUGAUUUUGAACAAGGUGGAACUUAAAAAACCACCAUUGUUGAACUUGUUCUCAAAAUGAAAAGAAGAUGGUGAAGAAUUGCAGAGAUUUUAAAGAAACCAUAUCACACCAUUAGCUUCUUUCAAUAAUUCAACCAUCAAAUUUAGAGGCACGGGAGAUUUGCGUCAUAACUUCUCUUUUUUGGUCGCUCUCCCG